RNAcentral lists this small RNA (544 nucleotides) under Pan troglodytes (chimpanzee). Its description in RNAcentral is "retained intron". The record is from RNAcentral. Lineage: Eukaryota; Metazoa; Chordata; Mammalia; Primates; Hominidae.
GGUAAACUGUCAGACAUCAAAUCGACAUGGUCCUCUGGCCCUACCUCCCACACGCAAGCCUCUCUGUCUCAUGAACUGUGGAAGGUGCCCAGAAACAGUACUGCACCCACGAGGCCACCUCCAGGGUUAACCAAUCCCAAGCCCUCCUCCACCUGGGGUGCCAGCCCCCUCGGCUGGACCAGCUCCUACUCCUCGGGUUCUGCCUGGAGCACCGACACCUCAGGAAGAACCAGCAGCUGGCUCGUUCUUCGAAACCUCACUCCCCAGGUGCAAUAUGGUGCCCCUGCAUCACUGAGCAUGAUCCAGGGAGGGUUCCCGCUUGGCCCCCAAUGCAGAUGAGGCUGUCUGGUGGGGCAGGAUAGUUGGGGGUUCUUGGUCAGGGUCCAUAAGUGACGCUGCAUGGGAGGAGAUGAGCAAGUGCCAGGAUUGGCUCCAGCAGCGGCAGCAGAUGGGGCCCAGGGGCCUCUUUUAACCAUGUUCCUGGUGAAUUGUUUGUUUACCCACCAGAGGCUGGAAAAGUGUGCUCUGUAAAUAGAAUUGUUUA